UUUGUCCAAGUGAGCGAGUAACGAUGGGAAAGCAAAGGUGAAGGAAAGCGUCUUCCCGGGUCAGGCGGCUGCCUGCCGUCAGGCUACUGGGUUUCCUGGGCAAGAAGGACUAGACCCAAACUGAGAAUCCGGGAGGUUUGCAGGCUGGAGAAGACUGGGCUGACCUGGGACUUCUGGAAAUCCUCUGUGGAAGCCUUAGGAGGGCUGGGAUGACAGGAAAGAGCCACCACAGCUGGCUGCAGCCACUUCCUCACAGCUGUUACUUGUGUAGAAGACCUGAGUGGUGAGGCUGGGGAGACACCUCAGCUGGCAAAGUGCCAGCCUCACAACUGGGGCCACUUGGGUUGGCUCCCCAGGCCCCGUGUGAAACAAAGCCCGGAGUCAUCUUGCAGACUCUCCAUUUGGAGUUCUUCGGAAAGAGUGGGGUGGAGGGUCUGCAGGAGAGGGUAUCUUCAAACCCCAGAUGAAAAAGUGGAUGCCCCUCAAUUACAGAUUUGUCUCCCUCUUGAUUUAAUCUGUUAAGCUGGCUUGCCACAUUGCCAGCUGGGGCCUGGGGUAGGGCUGUUAUCCUGAAAAAAAAAAAAAAAAUACAGCUCUGAAUGCCACAAUCCUGAAUGUUGAAAUCCUAUUUUUUUUUUUUCAGAUAAGAGCUCAUGUGGCUAAGGCUGGCCUUGAACUCCUGAUCCUUCUGCCUACUAAGUUCUAGAAUUACAGAUGUGUGCCACACACUCAGAUAAUUACAUGAUGAGAAGAAGACUUGUUCGAAGCACAUUAGAAAGUGACAAAACACUUCCAAGGCCACUUGACUUCACACAACACACAUCUUGGCAAGCUGAAACAUCCGAGUGUAGUAACAACCCUCACA
This is a non-coding RNA of Peromyscus maniculatus bairdii (prairie deer mouse), 865 nucleotides long. The record is from RefSeq and is a predicted model, not a curated record. NCBI's taxonomy places the organism in Eukaryota, Metazoa, Chordata, Mammalia, Rodentia, Cricetidae.